GCACUGAACUCUGGGUGUGACAUCUGUCCCUGCCCUGAUCGCCAGGGUUGAUGCGACUGUUCUGGCUGACUAAGCAGGCGACUCCUUCCUUCCUCACGGUACAACUGCUCCCUCCCCAAGCUAAGUCAAAGAGGACGACCUUCCCCGAAUAGAGUCAGGCCUGUCUUCGGUCCCAGUAGAGCAGUUCUCCCCUGCUAGAACCUCCAAAGAAGCUCUCAAGAGAGGCUGCAGGUAAGGUACUUCAUUUUAUCAAAUUUGGUGUAGGCUUU
This 269-nucleotide small nuclear RNA is filed under the name Sorex araneus (European shrew). RNAcentral's name for it is "7SK RNA (ENSSARG00000019536.1)". It matches the Rfam family "7SK RNA". From Rfam's summary of the family: 7SK was discovered as an abundant small nuclear RNA in the mid-70s but a possible function has only recently been suggested. Two independent studies have found that 7SK RNA binds the CDK9/cyclin T complex (known as elongation factor P-TEFb). P-TEFb activates transcription by phosphorylating the C-terminal domain of RNA polymerase II. Lineage: Eukaryota; Metazoa; Chordata; Mammalia; Eulipotyphla; Soricidae. The record is from RNAcentral.